This 468-nucleotide ribosomal RNA is filed under the name Triticum aestivum (bread wheat). Its description in RNAcentral is "partial small subunit ribosomal RNA". The record is from RNAcentral. Lineage: Eukaryota; Viridiplantae; Streptophyta; Magnoliopsida; Poales; Poaceae.
AUGGCAUCGGCACUGCUGAGCAUACGGCACCUGCACCCGAGUCGGCGUAUCGGCUCGCGAGACAGUAGCUCAACAUACCGCCAAGACGAGGGACAUGGGGCCGCAGCCCAAGCCGAGCAACCUAGACACUCCGAUGAACAGGUCGCGCUUGCGGUGGACGCAGCCAAUGCGGACGCCCUGCAGUGGUGUGCUGUCCCCGAAGACGAGCAUCUCCAAAGCAAGCACACCCUUGGGUGUACGAUUCGUCGACGUACGACACCUGGUCCCGGUAGGGUCGGAGAUGGCGUAGCCGGAGGAUACGCUGUGCAGCGUCCGGCAAAAACGGAGCCACACAGCAACACGGUGAAGGACGCCAACAUGGAUGGGUCACUCUGCCCGCGCGUCGUCUCUUGCCGUAAGGUUGAGCAUGAUGUGGCGCCUCGACGGCUAUGGCACGUCGCAGACGGUGUCGUCAAGCAACGACGGUGA